CCAGCCAGGUCGGUGUGGCGAGGCAGUCAGUGUAAGCGCGAGGUGAGGCCAAGCGCUAGUGUGUGUGUGCGUGUCUCUCUGUCUGGGAUCGCUGCGGCGGCCUCUCGCGCUGGCUGUGGUUCCGCUGUCACGGUUGGCAGAAAGCGAAAUUGAUGAUGAAAGAGAGACGGAGAAGAACACAGUGAAGGGAAGAGUAAAGAAGAGCGAAACAGCAAGUAGUAAUAAGUUACAAGUGCAUAGACCUCAAGAAGAGAGAGAGAGAGAGAGAAGAUGAAUAAAAAGAAAUGAUUAAGGAAUUAAAACGUACAUAUGUAUGUAUCUAGAUAUCUAAAUAUGUAUAAAUUAUUGUGAGCGGAACGCACAAAACAGCAAUAAAGGAGGACAAGCCUGGAGGUGAUGAUAUAGAAGAAAAUUUUGUGUCCCUGGCUAGAACAUCGUGUGUGGGUGGGUGUUUAUGUGUACAUGUCGUUUACGGGCCGAGAAAAAUAGCCUCGAAUAAAUAAAUGCGAGUGUGAAUAAGUGCGAGAUACACUCACGUCGGACCUCGAGAGAGAGAGAGAGAGAGAGAGAGAGAGAGAGAGAGAGAGAGAGAGAGAGAGAGAGAGAGAGAGAGAGAGAGAGAGAGAGAGAGAGAGAGAGAGAGAGA
Molecule: non-coding RNA, 646 nt
Organism: Penaeus vannamei (Pacific white shrimp)
Lineage: Eukaryota; Metazoa; Arthropoda; Malacostraca; Decapoda; Penaeidae
Source: RefSeq, a predicted model, not a curated record